RNAcentral lists this long non-coding RNA (432 nucleotides) under Serinus canaria (Common canary). RNAcentral describes it as "lncRNA (ENSSCAG00000004899.1)". Lineage: Eukaryota; Metazoa; Chordata; Aves; Passeriformes; Fringillidae. The record is from RNAcentral.
UCAUGAGCCCACCUGGGCACCCUCUCGAGCCCACCUGGGCACCCUCUUUGUCCCCUUUUUCCCGUGCAGGGACUCCCAGGGCCAGCUGGCACUGAGGGGCAGAAGGGCCAGAAGGGUGAGAAGGGCGAUGGGGGACUGCAGGGCAAGCCAGGGCGCCCUGGGCGUGAUGGCCGGCCUGGAGAGAUCUGCGUGGUGGGACCCAAGGGCCAGAAGGGUGACCCCGGCCUCGUGGGACCGGAGGGGUUGGCCGGUGAACCAGGACCCCCGGGCAAGCCAGGCUCUCCAGGGGUUGGCAUUCCAGGGAAGCCGGGUGACCCUGGUGGCCCUCCAGGUGCAAAGGGAGAGAAGGGCAGCCCGGGAGCUCCUGGACCCGGAGGAUCGCCUGGGACACCCGGUCUCCCUGGAGUGCUGGGGCCUAAAGGAGACAAGGUG